Helianthus annuus (common sunflower) is the source of this 665-nucleotide long non-coding RNA. RefSeq lists it as uncharacterized. The record is from RefSeq and is a predicted model, not a curated record. The transcript is spliced from 3 exons. Lineage: Eukaryota; Viridiplantae; Streptophyta; Magnoliopsida; Asterales; Asteraceae.
UGUCUCACAUCCAGGUAUGCUCGUCCGGUGUAUAGUUCGAUUUCGUCUUUUGUCUCUAAGGUUUUGUUUCUUAAAUUGUAGUUCUACUUACCAGAAACAUGUAAUGGGCCUCACAAACACCAUGGACUAUGGGGAAACCCUAAAAAUCUCCUUAAAAUAGCGCCAAUCUCCUCACUUCUGUCCUCAUCCUCUGGAUCUGGCAUGCAAAGUUAAAGAAAUUCAAUGGUCUAUUUCUUCUCGAGAGUCUUUAUCACUCAGAAAGGAAAACAAUGUGGUGGUAACAAAUGUCUCGGAAUCAGAGACAACUAUCCAAGUCGAUUCACCGGCUCAACAUGUCACGUCCUCAGCCUUACCUCCAGCAACGCCCAAUCUGAAGGCCAACAAGGUCAAACCUCCGUAUGCUGGGUCAGGAGAAUCAACUCAGCGCGCCAAAAAAGCGCACGAGGACUAACUUACCAACAACAAGUAUUUUGAUCGGCUGCACAUAAUGAAGACUAGGCAGCCAGAAGCCUAACCAAGCCAUUGCUAAGCUUACAUAGAUACACAACUUUUGUACAACUUAUCCACAUAACACACUAGGUGUUCGUUUGCUAAGUUGUAGACAACUCUAAACUGUUUUGUACAUAUUUCAUAUGUAGUAGGCAAUGUGACUAAUGCUAUGAUAU